Molecule: unclassified non-coding RNA, 2476 nt
Filed under: Hevea brasiliensis (rubber tree)
Lineage: Eukaryota; Viridiplantae; Streptophyta; Magnoliopsida; Malpighiales; Euphorbiaceae
Source: RNAcentral
CGAAUCCGUUAGAAAAUGUGAACAAAGGGCUUUGCUUUUCUCUGCGUAAAUUGGUCUGACCGAUCUCAGUCUCAGCAGCUAAGCAGCAACGGGCCCGACCGGUUCACACAUUUGCUGGUUUGUUAUUUUUGGGGGGGGGGAGAGGAAAUAUACGAGUUAAAACGGAUAGCCUUUUGGGAGGGAGAGAGAGGGAUGAAAGGUGUAGAAGGGCCAUUGCUGUGCAUAGGGGAUUUGCUAAGCGAUCUUGGAGAGAAAGAAGCAGAUGCUGUUAGAACAGCUGAUCAUCACCUAACCUACAAAUAAGCAGGUUCACCUUCAUUUUCAAUUACUUAUUCUGGCGAUACCUUUAAUCCUCCUUGGAUCUUACCAAGCUCUUCCAGGUUUGUAUACAUGCACACACUUUUGGAUUUCAUCAGUCGUUGUUCCUGCUCUUAAUUUAUUAUCAUUUUCCCUUUAUUUUUGAAUUAUUCUUGAAUUUUACCUUUUCUUGGUAGUCUUUCGUUAAAUUGAAGCUGUGAAUGUAACGCUCCUGCGAGAAUUGGCCCUAAGAAAUCACUGUUUUAUUUGACUUAAUCUGAUCUUGUCUUCAAUUGGUAUUAGAUGUCCUCAAUUGAGGUCUUUGUUCAUUCUGUUUUUCAAAUUCAAACAAUUUACAUAACUUAAGUAGAUGAUAGUGAGUAUUAAUUGCGUAGGUUUAGUUUCAGAAAUUAGAGCAUAGGGAUUAAUAAUUUGCCACCUCCAGUGCAAUGUCUUCGUGGGCUAGCAAACAAUAGGAUGCAGAAUUGGGACUGGACUUGAAAAUAGUCACACUUCAUGGUAAAAUGCUAGAGGACGGGACUAACUCCAACUUUUCCCUUCCAAUACUCUAGUUUGGUGGUUGGUCUUGGGCAUUCACCCUUUUGGAUACUGUUAUGCAAAGUAAUUCAUCUCAAAUUUACGUUUGGGCUAACUCAGGUCUGCUUGCAAUUGGAUCAGCCUAGGGUGCAUCUGAUCAAAGAUCAGCAAACUAACUUUUUCUAUCUUGCUUCAGGAAAAUUACAGCCACUUGAAUAAGGCACUUAACAGGACAGAUCACUCCUGGAAAACUCUUACUCUAAAGGUAUUCUGGAUCAAUGUUUAAGAGUAUGCAUGAUAUGUAGAGUAAUUCUACAUCAGUAUUUAGCUUGGUAAGCAUUUUCUUGGACAUUGUAUUUGCAUGUCUUACCAUCAUCGUUAGUGGAGUAUGAGUAUACAAUGCAAAUUAUUGUACGAUCCCCAAUAUAUUUGUAAUUCAUACAAAGAUUGUAUGUGAUUCUAUGUGCAAGCCUAGAUAGUUUGAAAUUUUGCAUGGUACUUUGCUGAUGCAUUAUUUAUAUGCUCAAUCUGUAACCUUGUUGCUCUUUGUUUUUGUAAUAUUCCAUUUAUGCACUGCUCUGGAAACUGCAAAUGAGCUGGUCCAGUCGACUAACUCAAAUGUCAGGUUCCUGUCUGAGAACGUUGGAGAGCUUGAGAAAUUUGUCAAGAGAGAAAAUUCUGCUGUUGCAGCAGCCAAAAGGGAGGUUUACUUAUUGGCAGUAGAAAUGUCCAGUAGUUUUGGUCUCCUUUGAACAUCGCUGGUAAAGUGCAUUUGUUGGAAUUCUUUUUUCUGUUUCUAUUUUUUUUUUUCUUUCUUAUAUAUGUUUUUGUUCUUGUCCCCCUGGUAAAUUAUCUACAAUAGAUUAAAGAUGCAGAUUUUAAGUAAUACAUUGGGUGGAACUUUUUCUGCUAAAUGCUAAUGAUUUCUUUAAACUACCCUGAUAAUAUAUUGUUAAAGACUAAAUCAAUGGUAAGUUCUUUGCUUAAGAUGUGGCAUCAUCUGAGAAUGGUGCUAUGUAUAUAUGCUUAUGGAGUCCAUUGUAUAAACAAGGAAGGCUUUGAUGUACCAAAACUUCCCCGAAUGAGGCCCUUCUACACUGGCGUUCUUAAUCUGCAUGGCAUUUUGUUUUUCUGGAUCUAAGCCCAAGUCAUUAAUGAGGUGAGCAGCAGGAGUGCAGGACUAACAAAGGACUACACAUGGAGCCUUCAGCGUUACUUCUUUCCAAGCAUGAAAGCUAAGCUUAAAGCCUGUCUCGUAAGAGCUAUGGGGUUAUCCACUGAAUGUGAAAUGAGAGGAAAAAAAAAAAAAAAAGCUUUUACAAAAUAAAUUACAUGAUUAGUAGAAAGAAAUGGACUAUCACCAGAGAAAGGAAGACUCCUGGAAGGAAAAAAGACAAGUAAAAUUUAUCUGGAGGUGAUCCUACAUUGAAUUAUCAUAUACAAAACUGAAUAUAGUUUAUAGUUUACUUCUGGAUGGAUUUUUUUGGGAAUGAGUAUUUGAAUCUAACUCUGUCAGAUGAGUAAUUUAUCUUUAGUUACUGAAUCAAGUUAGGUUAGGCGGAUAGAUAUAUUUCCCACUUUAAUGUAUUGCACUUUCGUAUUUAGGGAUUAAUUUAGGCUUGAUUAGCUACCUUUCAAUGAG